RNAcentral lists this long non-coding RNA (1445 nucleotides) under Homo sapiens (human). RNAcentral describes it as "HSALNT0244144". Lineage: Eukaryota; Metazoa; Chordata; Mammalia; Primates; Hominidae. The record is from RNAcentral.
UUUUAAAUACCCUGCAAAAUUAUAGGCAAAGCCAGUUUUUAAAUAAAAAUAAUAAAAACAUUGAUAAAAGAUCUUCUGAGAAAAAAUGAAAAUUAAACUAGAAAUAUAAUUAAAUGGCCGGGCACAGUGGCUCACGCCUGUAAUCCCAGCACUUUGGGAGGCCAAGGCAGGCGCAUCACCUGAGGUCGGGAGUUCAAGACCAGCCUGACCAACAUGCAGAAACCCUGUCUCUACUAAAAAUAGAAAAUUAGCCGGGGUGGUGGCACAUGCCUAUAAUCCCAGCUACUUGGGAGGCUGAGGCAGGAGAAUCGCUUGAACCCGGGAGGCGGAGGUUGCAGUAAGCCGAGAUCAUGCCAUUGCACUCCAGCCUGGGCAACAAGAGCAAAACUCUGUCUCAAAAAUAAAAAAAAAUACAUAAUUAAAUGUAAAUAUAAUAUAAAACUAUAAAUAGCAAAAGAGAGAUGUUAUAUUACAGACCAUUUUUCAAUUGGAAAAAAUAUGGAUAGUAAGAAAUAAGAAAUGAACCACAGCACAAUAUGAAUUUUCAAAUGGUUCACCGUAUUUGAAAAAAUGAGUAUAUUUAAAACUUUUCCUGAUGGUACAACAAAGUACUUGAACUUAAAAUUAUACUAUUUAUUAAAUUCUCUUACACUUUUGAAGACACAUUUAAAAUCAUUUUAUGUUUCUUUUCAAUAUGUCUUAAUGGGCCAAAUCUUUGUCUUUCUAUUGCUUGGCUUUAAAUUAUUUCCCUAAAAAGUGAAAGUGUUAUAUUCUUAUCUGUACUUCAAAUCUUCUCAUAUUUCCUUUUCAUAGGAUUGUGUUCUGUCUCUUCUACAACAUAACACCACUAGGAUUUUCAAUACUUACACAUUAGUUUCCUGACUAUUCAAUAAUCAAAACCAUGUAGCAAAUUUCCUUCGCUAUCAAAAGUAAUCUAAAGAGGCGGUGAGAAUUUAUAUCUAAAAAUCCCACUAGUUACAAGUUCUUACAAAAAGAACCGAAGAGUUUACCAUUUUAACUGUAACUUUAAUCAUUCCUUCCACAUUAAUAAAUAAUUAUUAAAUUUUGAAAGGUUAGCCCUUCAUUAUGAAUUAUUCAUAAAUUCUACAUAAGAAUUACAUGAAGAUAAUAUUUUUCAGAAAGGUUAAAACAAUUUAACAUUUCUUUAUCUAUUUUAUGCUCUACUUUUUACAUAAAGUAUUGUCAACUUCAAUCACCACAACCUAAGUAAAUUUCACAUUAACAAAUGGCCAUGGCCAGGUGUGGUGGCUCACAUCUGUAAUCCCAGCAUUUUGGGAGGCCAAGGCAGGAGGAUUGCUUGAGCUCAGGAGUUCAAAACCAGCCUGAGCAACAUGGUGAAACCCCAUCUCUACAAAAAAAAUACAAAAAUCAGCCAGGCUUGGUGGCACACGCCUGUAGUCCCAGCUACUUGGGAGGCUGAGGUG